GGCGACCGGCGUUGCCAGGGGUGAGAGCGGGACGGGACCGUGCGCGCAGGGCCUCAGAGUUGUUUGCAAAGCAGAAUCCCUGCAGCUGUGGACACACGCGAAUAGGAGUUAGCUGCUGGGCGCUGUCGACAAGGUUCCUGACUCACCUUUGGAAGACGUCCUAGUGGUUUAUUUGGGCUUUUUCCCCUCUAAAUACUUUUGACUGGAAGUCUGACGAAGAUUUUUAUUCUAGAGUAGGUCUAUUACAAUACCCACUUAAUUAAAUUUUAGUGACUUAACGACGCCCUCUACCGCUUUUAUAAAGCGCAGAUUCAGAGUCCUAAAUAAAUUUUGUUGUGUGCCCAGUUUGCAGUUUAAUACUCGAGAGCCAGGUCCUGCAGAGUCCCCUCCAGAGGGAGGCUCAUUCAGAACGCGUCUGCCGAUUCCAGCCGCCUGUGGAAAGAGAAGGCUUCGGGGCCUUUCUGAAAUGUCUGCGCUGUGUUCCGAGGCUCGUCGGAAGGCCGGGUUGCCUGGGAGCGCUCGUUCGUAGUUUUCUUUUCAGCCCUGGUUUGCCUUUCUUCUUGUCCCUCCAGUGGAGGAGAUCGAGCAGAUGAACAGCCUGUUCCAGCAGAAGCAGAGGGAGCUGGUUUCUGGCCGUGUCCAAGGUGGAGGAGCUGGGGCCGGCAGCUGGAGGUGCUCAAGAACGGCCGGCUGGACGGGCGGCACGACGGCAGGUGCGCCGCGGCCGAGCUCGACCGCCUUCUACAAGGAGCUGCAGUUACGAAACAAACUGAAUCAGGAGCAGAAUUGCCACGCUUGCAGCAGCAGCGGGAGUGUCUGAACAAGCGCAAUCCGAGGUGGCAGUCAUGGAAAGCGCGUGAACGAGCUGCGAGGACCGGCUGGUGGAAGAGAAGGCGGCGCUGCAGCACAAGGAGGGCCCCCCGGUAGGUGGGGUAGGUUGGGGUAGGCGGGGCGCCGGCCGCCUGCAGGGUUCCGGGGCCGGGGGGGGGGGGGGGGGGGGGGGGGGGUUGGAGCGGGGCCACAGCUCCCCUGCCGGGCGGACGGAAGCACGGGCCUG
This 1057-nucleotide long non-coding RNA is filed under the name Lynx canadensis (Canada lynx). RNAcentral's name for it is "lncRNA (ENSLCNG00005016589.1)". Lineage: Eukaryota; Metazoa; Chordata; Mammalia; Carnivora; Felidae. The record is from RNAcentral.